AGUCGCCACGGGAAUACGAAGGGGGCUAGCGUUGCUCGGAAUUACUGGGCGUAAAGGGAGCGUAGGCGAAUCGUUUAGUCAGGGGUGAAAUCCCGGGGCUCAACCUCGGAACUGCCUUUGAUACUGGCGAUCUUGAGUAUGGGAGAGGUGUGUGGAACUCCGAGUGUAGAGGUGAAAUUCGUAGAUAUUCGGAAGAACACCAGUGGCGAAGGCGACACACUGGCCCAUUACUGACGCUGAGGCUCGAAAGCGUGGGGAGCAAACAGGAUUAGAUACCCCGGUAGUCCCUGUCUCUUAUACA
This 301-nucleotide ribosomal RNA is filed under the name uncultured bacterium. RNAcentral's name for it is "partial 16S ribosomal RNA". It matches the Rfam family "Bacterial small subunit ribosomal RNA", at positions 510 to 808 of the family's 1533-position model. The record is from RNAcentral.